AACGAACGCUGGCGGCGCGCCUAAUACAUGCAAGUCGAGCGAGAAGACGUAGCAAUACGUUUGUAAAGCGGCGAACGGGUGAGGAAUACAUGGGUAACCUACCCUCGAGUGGGGAAUAACUAGCCGAAAGGUUAGCUAAUACCGCGUACGCUCCUUGGACUUCGGUUCAGGGAGGAAAGCGAUACCGUGGGUAUCGCGCUCUUGGAUGGGCUCAUGUCCUAUCAGCUUGUUGGUGAGGUAACGGCUCACCAAGGCUUCGACGGGUAGCUGGUCUGAGAGGACGAUCAGCCACACUGGCACUGCGACACGGGCCAGACUCCUACGGGAGGCAGCAGUAAGGAAUAUUGCGCAAUGGGGC
RNAcentral lists this ribosomal RNA (358 nucleotides) under uncultured bacterium. Its description in RNAcentral is "bacterial SSU rRNA". It matches the Rfam family "Bacterial small subunit ribosomal RNA", at positions 29 to 377 of the family's 1533-position model. The record is from RNAcentral.